AUGAAUGGAUCAUGAUGCAUAAGAACCCUCAUACUGAUAAAUGGGACUUGAUGAACUGAAUUGAAUUGUUGUGGUGAUGAUUGAUUGGUAGUUGAUUCUUGUAUGUUUGGAUGUGUUGUCCCAUGUGUUGUUGUGAUUGAAGUUAGGAUGCUAGAGAGAAAUAAAUGCUAGGAUGAUAGAUGAGUAAUGAUUAUAAAAGUUAUUGAAGUAGAGCUUGAAUGCGAUGUGUAUUGUGUGUGACACCGAUAACGGGUGGCGUCUAGUGAUUGAGUCCCAAGUACAGGUGUGAAUGAAAAAGGAAAGUAAAUGAGAACGGGAAGGGAUAAGUGAAAAUGAUAAGGA
RNAcentral lists this long non-coding RNA (342 nucleotides) under Brassica napus (rape). RNAcentral's name for it is "long non-coding RNA (BNAP_LNC007959)". Lineage: Eukaryota; Viridiplantae; Streptophyta; Magnoliopsida; Brassicales; Brassicaceae. The record is from RNAcentral.